RNAcentral lists this long non-coding RNA (1810 nucleotides) under Salvia miltiorrhiza (redroot sage). Its description in RNAcentral is "long non-coding RNA (SMIL_LNC005577)". Lineage: Eukaryota; Viridiplantae; Streptophyta; Magnoliopsida; Lamiales; Lamiaceae. The record is from RNAcentral.
UUCAAAUCUCAAGCUUUGCAAAUCUAUUUUAAAUAAUUACCGUUACAAAAUUAGAUUAGCAAAUUCUGCUCAAAUCUAUUUCCAGCUGUCUGCAAAUCUCAUGCUCAAUCACCGUUACAAACUUAGAUUAGCAAUUGAUCUUCAAAUUCUUCUCAAAUCUCUUUCAAUCCCUCUGCAAAUCGUUCUCAAAUUCAAUCUCUCGAUCCCUCUCAAAUCUAUCUCCACCCGUGUGCAAAUCAUUCUCAAAUCUCAUCUCCCAUCGUCUGCAAAUCCUUAUCACAACAAUUGAUGUGCUAAUAUCUAUCCACCACAGAUACAUCCUGAUUGGAAAUUAUGAUUUGGUGCUUCACCUUCCCCGCCUGAUAUCGGAACCUAUUUUUGCGGAUACAUCCCAAUUGAAAAUCAGGAUUUGGUGCUCCACCUCCCCCGCCUGAUUUCGUAACCUAUUUUUCAAGGUACGUGCUUGAUUGUCUCUAUGAUGAUAAAUUCUCCCUUAAUUUCAUCUCAUGUUAAUAAUAUAUAGAAUUGCGAGAUGGAUCUCCCGAGCUUGGCUUUGAUCCUACAGGGUGCACUCAGCACCAAUCCUGACCAACAGAGGGCCGCUGGAGAAAGUCUCAAUCAAAAUCAGGUUCUGUUUUCUAUUGCGGUUUUCAUUGAUUGUGAUUGUUUUUAAAUUAAGUAUAUUUGGUUAGAAGAUUGUAGGAGCUAUGAUGAGCUCGGUGGCAAUUACUUUCACAGUUUGCAUGAAUGAUGAUUGAUGCUUGUGUUGCUGAAAUUUAGUGAGUAAUGAGUCUUAUGUAUCUUUGGUGUACCUUUUGCAGAUUCAGUAUGCGCCCUAGCAUUUGGUGAGGUUGUUGUAUAUCAUAGUAGAAGUCAGCUGCAAUUUAGAGGUUAGACAAGUCGCUAGCAUUAUCUUCAAUAAUUUCAUUGCUAAAUAUUGGGCUUCUCAUGAUGCAGGUAAAUUUAGGAAUUCAUGGCGAAAAGUUAUAUCGUUUAAAUCUUUUCUUGUCAGGAGUACUGUUUUUGGUUUCAGAUUAUUGGGAAACAUGAAAAUAGUGGAUGGACGAGUUAAAUUGAAUUUUUUAUUUCCAAUUAUUUUUUGAAGUAGUGGUUUGAUAUCUUGGCCAAGAAAUUUGUGAUACAACUUUCCUACUAAAGUAAGAGAUUAUAAAACUUGUAUCUAUAUGUCUGUCUGUAAGCCACACAUAAUGCUCAAGGAUUGGAAUUCUUCAGAGAGUUCCAUCUAAAGUAGAGUUAUAAUGUCAUUCAGAUCCGACCUGAGCAUUUGCAGCUCCUUCUUCCUGGAGAUUUGCUGCACACAUUAGUAGUUUUCUCUUGUCUAUCUCUCAGGAGUUGGCAUUGUUCUUUCUAACGAAGAAAACUGAUACUUUUAGUAUAAAAAUACUAUUUGUGCUAGCCAAAUUAUGUUUAUGCUUUCAUGAACUUCUAUUUGAUACUAAAAGAAUUAUUGUUUAGGUUCCNUUAGCAAUUGAUCUUCAAAUUAUUCUCAAAUCUCUUUCAAUCCCUCUGCAAAUCGUUCUCAAAUUCAAUCUCUCGAUCCCUCUCAAAUCUAUCUCCACCCGUGUGCAAAUCAUUCUCAAAUCUCAUCUCCCAUCGUCUGCAAAUCCUUAUCACAACAAUUGAUGUGCUAAUAUCUAUCCACCACAGAUACAUCCCGAUUGGAAAUUAUGAUUUGGUGCUUCACCUCCCCCGCCUGAUAUCGGAACCUAUUUUUGCGGAUACAUCCCAAUUGAAAAUCAGGAUUUGGUGCUCCACCUCCCCCGCCUGAUUUCGUAACCUAUUUUUCAAG